UACACUCCUGCGGGAGGCAGCAGUGGGGAAUUUUGGACAAUGGGCGAAAGCCUGAUCCAGCAAUGCCGCGUGAGUGAAGAAGGCCUUCGGGUUGUAAAGCUCUUUUGUCAGGGAAGAAACGGUGAAAGCUAAUAUCUUUUGCUAAUGACGGUACCUGAAGAAUAAGCACCGGCUAACUACGUGCCAGCAGCCGCGGUAAUACGUAGGGUGCAAGCGUUAAUCGGAAUUACUGGGCGUAAAGCGUGCGCAGGCGGUUUUGUAAGUCUGAUGUGAAAUCCCCGGGCUCAACCUGGGAAUUGCAUUGGAGACUGCAAGGCUAGAAUCUGGCAGAGGGGGGUAGAAUUCCACGUGUAGCAGUGAAAUGCGUAGAUAUGUGGAGGAACACCGAUGGCGAAGGCAGCCCCCUGGGUCAAGAUUGACGCUCAUGCACGAAAGCGUGGGGAGCAAACAGAAUUAGAAACCCUUGUAGUCCC
This 473-nucleotide ribosomal RNA is filed under the name uncultured organism. RNAcentral describes it as "partial 16S ribosomal RNA". It matches the Rfam family "Bacterial small subunit ribosomal RNA", at positions 332 to 797 of the family's 1533-position model. The record is from RNAcentral.